Drosophila bipectinata is the source of this 182-nucleotide non-coding RNA. The record is from RefSeq and is a predicted model, not a curated record. Lineage: Eukaryota; Metazoa; Arthropoda; Insecta; Diptera; Drosophilidae.
AGUAUCUGAAAGAUGCCUAAGGGCUUCCACAAAGCGCCAGCCAGAAUGAAAAUGAAUUUCCCGUAAAGGUUUGACCCUACAGGGGAUUCCAGGUGUAUCUAAAAGAUGUAUGAGCCGUGGGGGGAGGUGCAGAUGGGUAAAAUAAUAAAAAUAAAUAAAUAAAAUAAAAUAAAACAUAUUUU